This 564-nucleotide small RNA is filed under the name Drosophila mojavensis. RNAcentral's name for it is "GI25768". Lineage: Eukaryota; Metazoa; Arthropoda; Insecta; Diptera; Drosophilidae. The record is from RNAcentral.
AGUAUUGACGAGGCUAGAGUAUCUGGGCAUAGUUAGCCGCUGUGGUACAAACGGAUAGUGGGCUAUGCUUCUAGCCUCAUUGUUGCUGUGUACUCGCAGUCUAUCAUAAUAUUUAGUGCAAAUAUUAUUAAAUAAUUCAUCCACAGAUAAAACGCCCAGCUCAGAUCUGAUGCGAGCAUUUGAAAUAUAAUAUUGAGCGCCAGAUAUGGUUCUCAGUGCUCUGUUGUGUGCAACUCUGAUGCGGUCGAACUGAGUUUCGGAUAGGAGCGCACCCCAGACAGCCGUGCCCUAAUCCUCGAGACGACAGUGGUGACAUGAGUGCCGAAGUGCAGCUUUGUGUCCAUAGUGACACCCAAAUAAGGAUGUGAAGUGCCGUUUUUAAUUGCUUCAUUGCCAAUGCGGAUAUCCUGGUAUGGCGAUAUCCUUUUAGCUAAUUUGUCAAUAUAUGCUUGUUGCUGAGCUAACGCAUCUGCUUGCCGACAGUUUGCUGAGAGGACUACGACGUCAUCGGCAUAAGUGGCUAAGAGGAUUUUAUUUCCAGAGGCAUAAGUUGGGCUUGGAAUA